Molecule: ribosomal RNA, 208 nt
Filed under: uncultured bacterium
Lineage: Bacteria
Description: partial 16S ribosomal RNA
Rfam family: Bacterial small subunit ribosomal RNA
Source: RNAcentral
CGUGUAGGCGGUUUGAUAAGCUAUAUGUGAAAGACCACAGCUCAACUGUGGGAACGCAUCUGGAACUGUCAGACUAGAGUUCAGGAAGGGAAGCCGAAAUUCCUGGUGUAGGGGUGAAAUCUGUAGAUAUCAGGAAGAACACCGAUGGCGAAGGCAGGCUUCUAGACAUGAACUGACGCUGAGGCGCGAAAGCGUGGGGGAGCGAACA